GGGGAAUAUUGGGCAAUGGAGGAAACUCUUACCCAGCAAUGCCGCGUGAGUGAUGAAGGUCUUUGGAUUGUAAAGCUCUUUGAUUGGGGACGAAUAAAUGACGGUACCCAAAGAACAAGCCCCGGCUAACUAUGUGCCAGCAGCCGCGGUAAUACAUAGGGGGCGAGCGUUGUCCGGAAUGACUGGGCGUAAAGGGUGUGUAGGCGGUUUAUUAAGUUAGAAGUGUAAUACCUAGAGCUUAACUCAGGUGCUGCUUCUAAAACUGGUGAACUUGAGUGUAGGAGAGGAUGAUGGAAUUCCUAGUGUAGCGGUGGAAUGCGCAGAUAUUAGGAGGAACACCAGAGGCGAAAGCGAUCAUCUGGACUACAACUGACGCUGAGGCACGAAAGCGUGGGGAGCAAAC
This 403-nucleotide ribosomal RNA is filed under the name uncultured bacterium. Its description in RNAcentral is "bacterial SSU rRNA". It matches the Rfam family "Bacterial small subunit ribosomal RNA", at positions 356 to 773 of the family's 1533-position model. The record is from RNAcentral.